CCUACGGGGGGCUGCAGUGGGGAAUAUUGGACAAUGGGCGAAAGCCUGAUCCAGCCAUGCCGCGUGUGUGAAGAAGGCCUUCGGGUUGUAAAACACUUUCAGUGGGGAAGAAAGCCUUGGGGCUAAUACCCUCGAGGAAGGACAUCACCCACAGAAGAAGCACCGGCUAACUCCGUGCCAGCAGCCGCGGUAAUACGGAGGGUGCGAGCGUUAAUCGGAAUUACUGGGCGUAAAGCGCGCGUAGGCGGUCUGAUAAGCCGGUUGUGAAAGCCCCGGGCUCAACCUGGGAACGGCAUCCGGAACUGUCAGGCUAGAGUGCAGGAGAGGAAGGUAGAAUUCCCGGUGUAGCGGUGAAAUGCGUAGAGAUCGGGAGGAAUACCAGUGGCGAAGGCGGCCUUCUGGACUGACACUGACGCUGAGGUGCGAAAGCGUGGGUAGCAAACAGGAUUAGAUACCCCGGUAGUC
RNAcentral lists this ribosomal RNA (465 nucleotides) under Vreelandella stevensii. Its description in RNAcentral is "partial 16S ribosomal RNA". It matches the Rfam family "Bacterial small subunit ribosomal RNA", at positions 338 to 795 of the family's 1533-position model. Lineage: Bacteria; Pseudomonadati; Pseudomonadota; Gammaproteobacteria; Oceanospirillales; Halomonadaceae. The record is from RNAcentral.